Small nuclear RNA from Sciurus vulgaris (Eurasian red squirrel), 162 nucleotides. Its record names the gene U1. It matches the Rfam family "U1 spliceosomal RNA". Rfam says of the family: U1 is a small nuclear RNA (snRNA) component of the spliceosome (involved in pre-mRNA splicing). NCBI's taxonomy places the organism in Eukaryota, Metazoa, Chordata, Mammalia, Rodentia, Sciuridae. The record is from Ensembl.
AUACUUACCUGGCAGGGGAAAGACCAUGAUCACGAAGGUGGUUUUCCCAGGGCGAGGCUUAUCCAUUGCACUCCGGCUGCGCUGACCCCUGCGAUUUCCCCAAAUGCGGGAAACUCGACUGCAUAAUUUGUGGUAGUGGGGACUGCGUUCGCGCUUUCCCUG